CACAAUCCUAAGAAAUCCACCCUCCUCUCGUAACCCUCUCGGUCCUAUCCCGUCUACCGGCCCGUUCCCCUUUGCGGCGGCGCAUCGCCAUCGAUCCAGGCCGCCGCACGCCUCAUCCCGCCUUCCUCCGUAGCUAGCGGCGGCGCACUUCGGCAGGUCCCUCCCAUCUCGCCUCACCCCGGCCGCAUUCCUCGCGCUGCUCGACUCCAGCCUCAUCUCGCCUCAUCCCGUCAUCCGUAAGGGCACAGCGGCGCGGCAGCGUGGAGCCGUGGAGGGCAAAGGCCAAAGGGUGAUCACGACAGGGCGGCUCGACUCCCGACCAGCACCCGGGUCUACUAGAAGAAGCAAGCAAGGGGCGGCGACCACAGCACCAAGCAGUACCUCGUCAUCAACGGAUCCUUCUCUUCAGUAUCAAUCCCAAGGUUUGUUUCGAGAAAUAAGAUUAAGUGAGCUUUAACUGAAAAAAACAAAAGGUGGAUAUCCCCGUCAAACGUGGAAAGAAGAAGCAAAGGCGAACAAUGGUGUUACCGAAGACUUCAUUGCUUGAUUUGACUGUUACCAAAAGAGGUGCUCUGGCUUGCACAUUGUAUGAAUCCUAUAUCCUGGGAAAAGAAGUUGUCCAAACUGUCACUGUAGCAGGUUCUACAGCUAAUCAUUCUGAACUCCACAUGCAAUCAGCGCUUGCCAAAGGAGUUAUCAACUCAGUCUUGUUGUUUUACUCAUCAACGCACUUUGCUGGGUGGAGUUUCUGUGGGAAGCUCAAACCAUCAGAUUUCUUUGUCACGCCUUUGGGUUACUUCAAAGUCUUGGCCUCAAAGCUUCAAAAGUUGAAACCCAAGAAUGAAAGGAGGGUUCGGAAAGAUUACCGUGUAGUCUUCCGAAUGCUGAAGUCUCUUUUCUGCAGAGCAUUGCAUCUGCCAAAGGAAGUUCGACACCUGUUGAAGCUUUUGAGAGAAUUCAGAGAGAAAGAUUGUUUAAUUGUGAACAAUCAUCCGUCUGGUAUGAGUGAGCAGGAGAAAUUAUCCCUUCUUGUGAGAUGUUGCCCGAAAUUAGAGCACCUGGAAAAGGAAUAUCCUGAAAAGUACAUGCAAGUAAUAACCGGGCUGCCAUUCUGUGACACGAAACCCCAUUGGAAGAUAAGAGUCAGUAAAAAAUCUAUACUUGGAUAAUGUGCUAGCUGAAACAAUUGACACCUACCCGGAUGAUGGGACAGGUGUUGUCGAGUUUGUAUGGAAUUCAUUGGAGUACUUGGGCACACAGCAAUCUGCCAAUUUGACGACGGGCCAGACAAGAAAAAGGAAGAACUUUGAGGAUGAGCAAGUGCAGCACAUGCUGGGGAAAGCCCUGCCUGGGUUACUUUGUGAACUUAUGAGGCUGCUCAAUGAUGCGGGAGCACUUGAGAAAAUCCUUGGGGCGUCGCGUCCUAGGUUUGGAGGUCGCUGCAGAACAGAUCACUGGACCUCUUGAAGAUACUGUCUCUCGGACACACCGGUCCUCUUCUGUGCAAAAAUAUUUUUCCAAAAUUCUUAGUAUGACAAAAAAAAUCCUCCAAAGUUCUUGCAAGCAUAUUUGGAUGUUCUUUACCAUAAUAAAAAAGCUUGAAAACCCAUUGCGAUUUUCAUGCUUCGCAAAGAUAACAAGCAGAAGGGUUGCAAAAAAAGGUUCAUGUCUGUAGAAACUGAGACCAAAAAGGUUCAUGUUUUACAGGGGCGUCGAAGGCUUUGUGUGUGUGUGUGUGUGUGUGUGUGUGUGUGUGUGUGUGUGUGCGUGUGCGCGUGCGCGUGCGUGUGGUGUGCGUGCGUGCGG
Long non-coding RNA from Triticum aestivum (bread wheat), 1806 nucleotides. RefSeq lists it as uncharacterized. The transcript is spliced from 4 exons. The record is from RefSeq and is a predicted model, not a curated record. Lineage: Eukaryota; Viridiplantae; Streptophyta; Magnoliopsida; Poales; Poaceae.